Molecule: transfer RNA, 72 nt
Filed under: Marmota monax (woodchuck)
Lineage: Eukaryota; Metazoa; Chordata; Mammalia; Rodentia; Sciuridae
Description: tRNA.Ile
Rfam family: tRNA
About the family: Transfer RNA (tRNA) molecules are approximately 80 nucleotides in length. Their secondary structure includes four short double-helical elements and three loops (D, anti-codon, and T loops).
Source: RNAcentral
UAGAAUAUAGCUCAAUGGUAGAGCACUUGUCAAAUAUGUGUGAGGCACUGGGUUCAAUCCCCAGUAUUGAAC